CUGGCUCAGGAUGAACGCUAGCGACAGGCUUAACACAUGCAAGUCGAGGGGCAGCAUAAAAGUAGCAAUACUUGGUGGCGACCGGCGCACGGGUGAGUAACGCGUAUGCAACCUACCUAUCAGAGGGGAAUAACCCGGCGAAAGUCGGACUAAUACCGCAUAAAACAGGGGCACCGCAUGGUGAUAUUUGUUAAAGAAAUUCGCUGAUAGAUGGGCAUGCGUUCCAUUAGGUAGUUGGUGAGGUAACGGCUCACCAAGCCGACGAUGGAUAGGGGAACUGAGAGGUUGGUCCCCCACACUGGUACUGAGACACGGACCAGACUCCUACGGGAGGCAGCAGUGAGGAAUAUUGGUCAAUGGGCGGGAGCCUGAACCAGCCAAGUCGCGUGGAAAAGGAAGAAGGAUCUAUGGUUCGUAAACUUCUUUUGCAGGGGAAUAAAGUGCAGGACGUGUCCUGUUUUGUAUGUACCCUGAGAAUAAGGAUCGGCUAACUCCGUGCCAGCAGCCGC
This 509-nucleotide ribosomal RNA is filed under the name uncultured bacterium. RNAcentral describes it as "bacterial SSU rRNA". It matches the Rfam family "Bacterial small subunit ribosomal RNA", at positions 19 to 518 of the family's 1533-position model. The record is from RNAcentral.